GGCAGGGCGUUCCUGAGCGGCGUGAUGAUCGCUGCCGCCGGCGCCGGCGCGCUGCUGGGCCACGUGGACGCCGCGCCGGCGGCCUCCAAGAGGCGGGCCCCGCCGCCGCCGACGGAGGAGAAGGAGAAGAAGGACCCCAACCUCAGCGGCGUGCAGGCCAAGGUGUUGGCCAGCAGGAAGAGGAAGGAGGCCAUGAAGGAAGCCGUGGCCAAGAUGAAGGAGAAGGGGAAGAGGCCUGCCGACGCGGCCAGCAGUGUAACCGGAAUUACGGCCAAAUCGACAGGGGCCGUUGUAGAGUGAGUAUGUUUGGGUGCCGCCGAUUAAUUUACCAACCACUCAUUCAUUUGUCGAUGACGAGCACAUAACAGAGAUCGAUCCGACAUGUCUUGGAGUAAAUAUUCACUGAAUGAGUAUCGUUUUGCUACGUGCUAUGGAGUACAUCUUGAAUUGAUGCGCUACUAU
Molecule: long non-coding RNA, 462 nt
Filed under: Hordeum vulgare
Lineage: Eukaryota; Viridiplantae; Streptophyta; Magnoliopsida; Poales; Poaceae
Description: long non-coding RNA (HVUL_LNC017781)
Source: RNAcentral